RNAcentral lists this long non-coding RNA (3858 nucleotides) under Homo sapiens (human). Its description in RNAcentral is "HSALNT0140515". Lineage: Eukaryota; Metazoa; Chordata; Mammalia; Primates; Hominidae. The record is from RNAcentral.
GUUUUUUUCUUUUUGCUCAGGAUAGUUUUGGCUAUUUUGCCCAGGAUAGCUUUGGCUAUUUGGGUCUUUUAUAGUUCCAUAUAAAUUUUAGGAUUUUUUUCUAUUUCUGUGAAGAAUGUCAUUUUUAUUUUGAUAAGGAUUGCAUUGAAUCUGUACAUUGCUUUGGAUAGUAUGGACAUUUUAACAAUAUUGACUCAAUCCAGAACAUGAAAUAUCUUUACAUAUUUUUGAGUCUGCUUCAGUUUCUUUCAUGAGUGUGUUAUAGUUUUCAUUGCACAGAUUUGGUGUCAGAAGUGAGGAUCCCAAGUAAGAGUCCUGUGACCCCCCCUGCCAGGAAUACCAGGCAACAAGAAACCAGAGAUUGGGUCUUCCGGAAACCACAUCAGAAGAAGACUGCCUUUGAACCCCAUUGGAAGGGGUUAUACCAAGUUAUUCUCACUACUUACUUGAAGUACUUACUUGAAAUAAGACUUCAAGGCUUCAAACUUUGGAACCACAUCUCACAACUCAAAAAGGAACCCAGAUGUAGUCUGCUCACAGUACUAACGAAAAGAGUGGAUCUUCUAAUUCAUCUUCCUCAGCAGCACAAACUCUUCCCACCCUAGGAGCAGAAACCAGGCUGAGAUGUAUGGAAGCCUCCAGUACUAAGCUACCCAGACAGAAAGCAACAUCCAGGUCAAAGCAUCACUGUCCGACCACAUGACCCUUCUACACCUGGGCCCCGAAGGCACUGCUAGGAGUCAACAGCUCCACCUGGUGACCAGAGGCUGGCCUUCAUCAAAGGCUCAGGCACUGCAGCAGUUGAGAAUUUCUCUUUAUGGGUAUUUCCUCAGGCAUAAAUACAGUAACUAAAACAUAUGUUUUCAUUGUCUGCUACUUAUGGAAUAAACAUUAAUGUUUUGUGUUUUCAAAGCUAUUUAAGUCAAAAAAAUCCUUUAAUAAUGUUUAUGGAGAACUGAAAAAUUGUUACUGGAGGUCUCACAAAAAAAAUCACAGUGAAAAAACAAAUAAUUCUGUGCAAAAGUCUGUUUAUUAAACCUAUAUUCAUCUUACAACAAAAUCAGAAGUUAAUAACUAAGGUGUCACUGAUUUCAAGACUAUUUCCAUCAAACUUUAAAGUUUGCUCAUUUUUCAUUUAAUUAAUAAUUUAAUACCCACCCCCCUACCAACACGACCCAUGGGGAGACAAUAAGUGUAAAGCUCUGACAAUAUAAAAUGCUGUGGAAAAUAAUCCUGUCAGUCAUAUUGAUAGCUAGAAUGAUUUGCCAGUUUUUAUAGCCAUCAUAACAGCAGCCUGUGAUUUGAAAUCUCAUAAAACAGGAAGCUGUGUGCUUAAAGACAUGCCUGGAAUUCCUGAUGUGAUGGGAGACAAUUGUUGUGAUCUGUUGCUGCCACCAGCAGGCCAUUCUCACAAAAUGGUAUUUUCCCCUUUGCUUUUUGUUUCCAACUUACCUACUGAUAUUUCUUGACCACCACAUUCUUUAAUCAGGAUAAAUAAUUAGAUAAAAAAACAAAUCUUUUUCAUGGGUAUCCUCAGUAACAAUCACUUCUUUAAAAUCUACCAUAUAUAACCUUUUUAAAAUUUAUUUAACAAACAGGCCUAAUCUUUCUGCUUAUCUUUUAUUCCUUUUUUUUUUCAUAAGCUCCUAAAUCCUUGCAUUUUUUAAAUCAGGUUCCUGGUAAAUAUAUCUUAAUAUGAGAACAAGUGAUCCUGGCAUAAAAGGUAGAAGCCCACAGUUCAUCACACUGAUGACUGCUAUAAGAUAUUCCUUAAAUUUUCAUUUAGCUGGCGAAUUUAAGGCUGGUGCAUACAAACAAGUUCUAUAGCCACAUCAACCUGGGAUCAGAUCCAGCUUCUUAGCAUUGUGCUCUUGGGAAGCAUUUAACCUUUCUAGGCAUCAGUAUCCUCCCUGUAAAAUGAGGAUAAUAAUAAUACCCAUGUCUUAGGAUUGACAAGAGGAAUAAAUGAAAUAAUGCAUAUAAAGCAUUUAGCAAAAUGUCUGGCACAUAGUAAGCCAUCAAUGAAUGACUCAUUAUUAUUAUUAAAGUGUAAAAAUUAAGACUUCCAUACAAUCAGAAGCCAAAUCAAUGGGAGAGUUCUGACUAGAACCUCCAAAUCUGCUGAUUCCAAGCCAAGGGCUUUGAACAUCGUAUUGCAAUGAUGCUUUCUAUUUAUCUAAUUAAGAUGAAGACUCUGGUUCUUUUGGGAUAGGCCAAGAUUGCUGAAAACAUCACUUUUCAAAUAUGAAGUCCUUUUUAAGCCCAGAAUUAGACAAACCAUUAGGUUCCACUGGACGUCCCUCCUACAUCUGAAAACAGCUUUCUCCCCCUUGGAUGACAGAAGUGGUAUUUUUAUGGUAAUAUUUCUCAUAAGAAGCAAGUACAUGAGAUUCCUCUUUAAGCUCUGAAAUUUCUUUCUUUUGCAGAGCUUCAGAUAAAUAAAGCAGCUUUCCAUUAUGUGUUUCUGUCUAGCAAGGCUAUUCAAUAUGUUCAUGGUGGAGCAUAGGCAUGAGGGGCGCUCUCCAGCACAGUUAGUGGAAACAAUUUCUAGUCUAGUUCAAAGCAGUAACUAAAGCCAGGUUCCUUUGAUGUCUUACUGAGAAAGCUGCCCUGCAGCAUAAGACAGGGCAGUGUGAAUUCCCGUCUAGCCUUGUGGCUGAAGUUUUGUGGAUCAGGAGCUGGGGAAGACCAGAAGUGCCAAAGGUCUACUUUGCUACAGAGAAAAUAAGUGAAGCGACUGUGUCUCAAUGAAAGGUUGGACACCGCUGACCAUUCUUCAAGUCCUCGACAAUUUGCUGAGCAGAUACUCACCAUGGGUCAGGCUCUAGGACACCAUGGGAAAAACUGAGGCAGAAGCACACUCAGCAUUUAAGUGACAGCUUCUGUCAGCUCAUGCAGCAGAUUGACAGAUCGCAAUAACAAAAAGGGAAGUCUGGAUGCUGUCAGAGGCAAGAAGAAACUGCUGCCUCUGCUUUCUUCAGUGUUGAGCACAGCUCCAUGCUCAGCAGUUGGCGUAAAUAAAUACCUUGAAACUGAGAUCUAUGAGCAAGAAACAUGAUCAAGGUGGUUAAAGAAGUAAAAGAGGUAAAGUACCUCAUUCAUUCAUUCAAUUACUAAAUAGCUAUUCUAUGCCAGGUCCCAUACAAGGUCCUGAGAAUAUUAGGGUAAGUAAGAUUAAAUCCCCAUCCUCAAAGGAGUCCACCAAGAGAGAGAGGGAGAGCAUGCGACCACAUGAGCAUAUGGACUGGGAACAUAGAGAAAGGGAAAAUUCUUAUAAACAGCACCUCUCACGCAAAAGCUGCUUUAUACGUGCAAACCAGGUGUUAAGGUCCCUUAACAUGUGGAUAAAAUGAGUCUAUACCCCCACAAAUGCCUGGCUUGUCAAAGUCCAAAGUCUUCAUCAAUUCCCAGAGGGCUAUCUUCUGUACUUCUCAGCCUCUGAGAUCCCAUGCCACAUAUGCUACCUUUAUUCCAUGUCACAUGGGUUCUCCCAUGAAAUUCAGCCUCUUCUGAAAUUUCUACUGCAAAAUCACUCUCAUGCAGGAUACUGGAAGAUUUCAGAGUGAGGCAGAGAAAUGGAUGGAAGGUUACUUCCCACACUACUUGGCAAACAAACAACUUUAUGAAGAACAAUAGGUAUCCACUAUAAAAACAGGGCCCAGCACCCUUACCUAAGGAGCUGAAAUGUUCCUUUUGACAGAUUUGUCUUGAAUUGAGAUAAGGGUGCUGGGCCUUUCUACCCAGCAUCCACCAGUCUCAAAUGUUGGCCAACCAGGGGAGGAGCAUAAUCUUGGGUGAGGCAGAUCCUCUCAGCUGAGGGCUAUUCUUGGGGAAGAAUUUGGCUAUAAGUGGCCCACA